This is a long non-coding RNA of Herpailurus yagouaroundi (jaguarundi), 652 nucleotides long. RefSeq lists it as uncharacterized. The transcript has 3 exons. NCBI's taxonomy places the organism in Eukaryota, Metazoa, Chordata, Mammalia, Carnivora, Felidae. The record is from RefSeq and is a predicted model, not a curated record.
CAAGACCAAAAACUAGUCAUCUACCAGAUAGCUGGAGGAGCACUGCCCUAGAGCUCUGGUGCGAACAGCUUGCUUUCUGUUACCAGCUCUGUGGCAAAGAGGAGACGUGCUCAGAAAUCACUUAGGCAUAAAGGAAGCAAGAAAGAAGUUACAAAAGCAUCAAGAAAGUUGGUCUAGGGGCAAGGAAUGCCGAAGACAGUGAUGAGAUCACGGUCACAUAAAGCUGGAUGGUCAGAUACAACAGUGAAAAAGAAGAUAGCAGAUCGCAUAUUGCAAAAACCACUCAAGAUGGUUCAAGAAGAUACUGAAACUGGAAAAGUUCUCAGCACUUUAUACAAAUAAAGUUUCAUUAAUCUCUUAUUUGAAGACAUUAUAAUUUUUGAUAAAUGCUACCUCAGUUAAGUUUUUAAAUAUAUACGCCAACUUAAAUCUCACAAAUAUUAGCCCUGAUAAGGCUAGUUCAAUUCUAAUGCAGUUAAUAGAAAAUAUGGUUCAAGGCAGAAUAAAGCAGGCUUACAAAGUACUGGACAGCAGGUGGCCCAAAUGAGUGAAGCAGGCUUCACAGCCAAAGACCUUAACAAUCUACCACUGCUCAGCUCCAGCCAACUACUGCCUUCAGGGAAUACAGACAAAAAAAAAAAAAAAAAAAAAA